UAGGUCACCUUGGGCUCUCUGCUUACAAGAGUCCCCCAGCUGGGGCUGUCUCCUCUGAACUGUGAGGACCCUGUGAACAGUGAGUCCCCUCCCUAGUCUCAGCCCUUUCUGGGAAAGGAAACUGCAGAGUCACUGGGCGCUGGCAGGGAGCCCUUCCUGCUUGCUGGCGUCACAGCAGCCUGGACCCCACCCCCAGCCGCCAGUCCCCACAGGAAGCUGGGCCUCAGUCUGGGCUCCAGCCAGUGCACCCCACCUCACAGCAGCCUGACCCUGGGCACGCCCUUAACCCCUGGAAGCCCAGCUUUCCUUCCUCCUUCCCACUUCCUAAUUCUGAGUAUUGUUCUGCUGGAGGUGCGUCACUCAGUGGCCCCCAGCCCAGCCCUCCCUCCGCCCCUUCAGGCAUUGCCCAGAGGUCACCUUCUCAGGGAGCUGCCCACCCCACCGGGACUUGAGCUCCUGCAGGAAGGGGUUUUCAUCUGUUUUGCCCUCCAUGGGAUCUUUGCACCUGGCCGUCCCUGGUGUGUUCCUGGCACCAAGUGAGCCUCAGUAAAUGUGUUGACCAGCCUGUUUUGUAAAGGUCACCCUGUCCACAGGGAGGCUCUCAGUAACCAUUUGUGAUAUUCAUGGACUGACUGAAGCAUCAGCCCCACGAACUCGAAGAUGGUCCCAGACCUGGGGGCCUGUCCAGCCAUGAGCUUCCAGGAUCUAGAUCAUGAUUUUUGGAGAACAUGGGUCCAUCACCAAAAGAGGAACCUGGGGGGAACCCCUGCAUCUGGUACUCGUGGAGAUCCAGAGACCCUCCAACAGGGCCCAGAGGAAGGCGGUGGCGGUCAGGAGCCAGAACACCGGCUCAGCGAGGCCAAGUCGGAGCAUGAAAAGCAGCUGAAUUUGGGGCGCCAGACUUGCUGCUCCAAACUGAAGUCCUGGCCAGGGAGUGCCCUGCCACUCACUCCGGAUGAGGACACAAGAAACACCCAAUCAGAACAGAAAAAAGAAAAAGAUGAUAGUGGAAGGAGUCUCUGGGGCGACUUCAAGAGUACCGAGAUGUGCAUCACGGGGGUUAGAGGUGCUGGAAGGAGAAGAGAGAGACUGAGAAACUGAAAAUCUAUUUUAAAAAAUAAUGACAGAAAACUUCCCCAACCUGGUGAAGGAAAUAGACAAAAAUAGACAUACAAGUGCAGGAAGCACAGAGUCCCAGACAGGUUGGACACAAAGAGGACCACACCAAGGCACAUCAUAAUUAAAAUGCCAAAGGUUAAAGAUAAAGAGAAUCUUGAAAGCAGCCUGAGAAAAGCAGAGAGUCACCUACAGAGGAGUGCCCACAAGACUGUCAGUGAUUUCUCCACAGAACCCUGGCAGGCAAGAAGGGACUGGCAAAACACAUUCAAAGUGAUAAAAAGCAAGAACGUACAACCAAGGUUACUGUAUCCAGCAAAACUAUCAUCUAGAAUCAAAGAAUAUAUAAAGAGCUUCCCAGACGAGAAAAGGAAAGCUAAAGGAGUUCAUCAGCACCAAACCAUUAUUACAUGAAAUGUUAAAGGGUCUUCCUUCAGAAGAAGAAAAAAUAAUUUAAAAAAUAUAUGAACAAUAGCCUUGGUUGGUGUGGCUCAGGGGAUUGAGCGCCAACCUGCGAACCAAGGGGUCGCCAGUGCGAUUCCCAGUCAGGGCACAGGCCUGGGUUGCAGGCCAGGUCCCCAGUAGGGGGCUUGCGAGAGGCAACCACACACUGAUGCUUCUGUCCCUCUCUUUCUCCCUCCCUUCCCCUGCCUAAAAAUAAAUAAAUAAAAUCUUUAAAAAAUAUGAACAAUAAAAUGUCAAUAAAUAUAUAUCAACAAUUGAAUCUAAAAAACUAAACAAACAGGCAGAACGGAAACAGACUCACAGAGACCAUUUUGAUGGCUGCUGUAUGGGAAGAGGGUUGGGGACUGGGCACAAAAGGCUAUGGAUGAAAAGGGUCCCCUUACAAAACCUGACAAGCUCAGGGGAGGCCUUGGAGGCGGCCUUAGAAACUCACAAGUGGUCUGAAAUGUAGACUUACUCACUAAAAGCAAUUUAUGGCAGGCAAUCUUGUUCUAGGCCAAAAUCUUCCCUGACAAAAAGUCUCUACCUGAAGCCUGUCUGUCUUUCUGCAUCUGCAUAACAUACCUUUAGAAUGUCAAAGUAAUUUCCUUUUUUUGGACCACUCGAAGGACCAGCACUUCCCACAACCCCCUCAUUGUUAGUAUCAGGUUAAUUGCUGUUAGCCCUCCUGUACCCACCUGUGUAAAAGAAGUGUGUGUCUGUCAUUUUACUUUUCAUCCAAUCCCAGCAGAUCCCCCCUUUGCUUUCUCCCGCCUCCCUCAUCUGUCGCCAGUGGAUUUUGUGUGAUCGCCAUAUAUAAAAUAAGGUGCAAAAUGGCCACAUUCCAGAGCGUCUCCUCAAUCUGUCGAGGUUUUCUUCCCAGCAACUGUCAUCAGUUUGGCUCAAAUAAACUCCCAGAAAUUCUCUGCAGGUUUGAAUGUUUUUCAUGUUGAUAAAGGGAUGGGAUCAAGAAGUACAAACCGGCGGGAACAGAGCAGCGGGGGCUGUAAAGCGCAGCGUAGGGAACACAGUCAGUGACACUCUAACAACUGCAUGGUGUCGGAUGGGCGUGCGAAUUAUC
This is a long non-coding RNA of Artibeus jamaicensis (Jamaican fruit-eating bat), 2641 nucleotides long. RefSeq lists it as uncharacterized. The record is from RefSeq and is a predicted model, not a curated record. The transcript has 4 exons. Lineage: Eukaryota; Metazoa; Chordata; Mammalia; Chiroptera; Phyllostomidae.